RNAcentral lists this ribosomal RNA (460 nucleotides) under uncultured bacterium. Its description in RNAcentral is "partial 16S ribosomal RNA". It matches the Rfam family "Bacterial small subunit ribosomal RNA", at positions 338 to 795 of the family's 1533-position model. The record is from RNAcentral.
ACUACGGGAGGCAUCAGUGAGGAAUAUUGGUCAAUGGGCGCGAGCCUGAACCAGCCAAGUCGCGUGAGGGAGGACUGCCCUACGGGUUGUAAACCUCUUUUGCCGGGGAGCAACGGGCGCCACGUGUGGCGUCACUGAGAGUACCCGGAGAAAAAGCAUCGGCUAACUCCGUGCCAGCAGCCGCGGUAAUACGGGGGAUGCGAUCGUUAUCCGGAUUUAUUGGGUUUAAAGGGUGCGUAGGCGGACAGGCAAGUCAGUGGUAAAAUGGCGGGGCUCAACCCCUUCCCGCCGUUGAAACUGGCGUUCUUGAGUGGAAGAGAAGUAUGCGGAAUGCGUGGUGUAGCGGUGAAAUGCAUAGAUAUCACGCAGAACCCCGAUUGCGAAGGCAGCAUGCCGGCUUCCGACUGACGCUGAAGCACGAAAGCGUGGGGAUCGAACAGGAUUAGAUACCCCAGUAGUC